GUCUCAACUGCACCUGCCCCAAACUGCAUGUAGACAAAAACAGAAGAUGGUUUUGGAAUGCCUCUCCUCAAGAGGAAGAUCAUUAGCAUAUUCAUCUGGAUACUGCAAACACUUUCAAGUAUCAUAACUCAGCUGCCAUACAGAUUAUCUAAUUAUACAGCAUUCACCUAUAAAGAAAAAUACCUCAGAUAUGAGAACUAUAUUAAUAAAGGCAACAAUUCACAGUCUGAUUCGAACUUUAUAUAUAAUUUGCAGAGACGGAAGUAAAAACAUACUCAAACCUUUGGAAAUUCAAAAACAAAGCCCCUUGCAAACAACACCUUCAAUUCAAGAUAGCAAUGCUCAAUCUGCCACCUGU
Molecule: long non-coding RNA, 358 nt
Filed under: Anas platyrhynchos platyrhynchos (common mallard)
Lineage: Eukaryota; Metazoa; Chordata; Aves; Anseriformes; Anatidae
Description: lncRNA (ENSAPLG00000025332.1)
Source: RNAcentral